Molecule: ribosomal RNA, 615 nt
Filed under: uncultured Deferribacteres bacterium
Lineage: Bacteria; Pseudomonadati; Deferribacterota; Deferribacteres
Description: bacterial SSU rRNA
Rfam family: Bacterial small subunit ribosomal RNA
Source: RNAcentral
AGAGUUUGAUCAUGGCUCAGAACGAACGCUGGCGGCGUGCUUAACACAUGCAAGUCUAGGGGAAAGUACCUUCGGGUACGAUUACACUGGCGCACGGGUGAGUAACGCGUGAGGAAUCUGCCCAUUAGAGAGGGACAACAUUCCGAAAGGGAUGCUAAUACCUCAUACGACCACAGAUCGCAUGUUCUGUGGUGAAAGACGGUUUCGGCUGUCGCUGAUGGAUGAUCUCGCGUAACAUUAGAUAGUUGGUGGGGUAACGGCCUACCAAGUCUGCGAUGUUUAACCGGCCUGAGAGGGUGGCCGGUCACAUAGGGACUGAGACACGGCCCUAACUCCUACGGGAGGCAGCAGUGGGGAAUUUUGCGCAAUGACCGAAAGGUUGACGCAGCGACGCCGCGUGUAUGACGAAGGUUUUCGGAUCGUAAAGUACUUUCAGCAGGGAAGAAUAGGUGUAAUAGUAACUGAUUACAUUAUGACGGUACCUGCAGAAGCAGCCCCGGCUAACUCCGUGCCAGCAGCCGCGGUAAUACNGAGGGGGCAAGCGUUGUUCGGAGUCACUGGGCGUAAAGCGCACGUAGGCGGAUAUGCAAGUCAGGAGUUAAAGGCGUCGGCUCA